This 376-nucleotide ribosomal RNA is filed under the name uncultured Desulfovibrio sp. RNAcentral's name for it is "bacterial SSU rRNA". It matches the Rfam family "Bacterial small subunit ribosomal RNA", at positions 1010 to 1382 of the family's 1533-position model. The record is from RNAcentral. Lineage: Bacteria; Pseudomonadati; Thermodesulfobacteriota; Desulfovibrionia; Desulfovibrionales; Desulfovibrionaceae.
AGAAGUGCUUUAGCAUAAAGAACCCGGUGACAGGUGCUGCAUGGCUGUCGUCAGCUCGUGUCGUGAGAUGUUGGGUUAAGUCCCGCAACGAGCGCAACCCUCGCCUUUAGUUGCCAGCAUUCAGUUGGGCACUCUAGAGGGACUGCCGGUGUCAAACCGGAGGAAGGUGGGGAUGACGUCAAGUCCUCGUGGCCUUUAUGUCUAGGGCUACACACGUACUACAAUGGCCGGUACAAAGGGCAGCCACUCAGCGAUGAGGCGCUAAUCCCAUAAAGCCGGUCUCAGUCCGGAUCGCAGUCUGCAACUCGACUGCGUGAAGUUGGAAUCGCUAGUAAUCGUAGAUCAGCAUGCUACGGUGAAUACGUUCCCGGGCCUU